This 586-nucleotide non-coding RNA is filed under the name Zootermopsis nevadensis. Its description in RNAcentral is "Eukaryotic large subunit ribosomal RNA". It matches the Rfam family "Eukaryotic large subunit ribosomal RNA", at positions 24 to 634 of the family's 3401-position model. The record is from Rfam by way of RNAcentral. Lineage: Eukaryota; Metazoa; Arthropoda; Insecta; Blattodea; Termopsidae.
CCAGCUGAAUUUAAGCACAGUACUAGGCGGAGGAAAAGAAACUAACAAGGAUUCCCCCAAGCGGCGAGCGAACAGGGAGGAGCCCAGCACCGAAUCCCGCGCGGAGACGUCGUGUGAGUGAGGUCCCACUCUCCCGGGGCGCGGUCUCCCUUGAACGGGGCCAUCGCCCGCAGAGGAUGCCAGGACCGCGGCCGCUCCGGGGUGGGGACUCACCUCAGAGUCGUAUUCCUUGAUUGUGGAGCACUAAGAGGGCGGUAAACUCCAUCUAAGGCUAAAUAUGACCACGAGAUCGAUAGCGAACAAGUACCGUGAGGGAAAGUUGGAAAGAACUUUGAAGAGAGAGUACGUGGACCGUGGCGGCUGAGGAGCCAGCGGGUGUCCGGUGGGUGCUACGGGCCGAGGGCUCUGUGUCACGUGUAGAGACAGACCUAGAAUCUGAAUUAGGAUAGUUGCCUGUGUGUGUAGACUCUGUAAACUGAUCUAUUCGUCGCUCGACCUCCGGGCAUGGCCUUCUGCAGAGAGCGUCGGCGUCACAAUACGUAUCAAAAUCUCAAGAUGGCCGAGUACUGCAGCCAACACUUGAAAC